This 693-nucleotide ribosomal RNA is filed under the name Wolbachia pipientis. RNAcentral describes it as "bacterial SSU rRNA". It matches the Rfam family "Bacterial small subunit ribosomal RNA", at positions 199 to 915 of the family's 1533-position model. Lineage: Bacteria; Pseudomonadati; Pseudomonadota; Alphaproteobacteria; Rickettsiales; Anaplasmataceae. The record is from RNAcentral.
GGGGAAAAAUUUAUUGCUAUUAGAUGAGCCUAUAUUAGAUUAGCUAGUUGGUGGAGUAAUAGCCUACCAAGGCAAUGAUCUAUAGCUGAUCUGAGAGGAUGAUCAGCCACACUGGAACUGAGAUACGGUCCAGACUCCUACGGGAGGCAGCAGUGGGGAAUAUUGGACAAUGGGCGAAAGCCUGAUCCAGCCAUGCCGCAUGAGUGAAGAAGGCCUUUGGGUUGUAAAGCUCUUUUAGUGAGGAAGAUAAUGACGGUACUCACAGAAGAAGUCCUGGCUAACUCCGUGCCAGCAGCCGCGGUAAUACGGAGAGGGCUAGCGUUAUUCGGAACUAUUGGGCGUAAAGGGCGCGUAGGCUGGUUAAUAAGUUAAAAGUGAAAUCCCGAGGCUUAACCUUGGAAUUGCUUUUAAAACUAUUAAUCUAGAGAUUGAAAGAGGAUAGAGGAAUUCCUGAUGUAGAGGUAAAAUUCGUAAAUAUUAGGAGGAACACCAGUGGCGAAGGCGUCUAUCUGGUUCAAAUCUGACGCUGAAGCGCGAAGGCGUGGGGAGCAAACAGGAUUAGAUACCCUGGUAGUCCACGCUGUAAACGAUGAAUGUUAAAUAUGGGAAGUUUACUUUCUGUAUUACAGCUAACGCGUUAAACAUUCCGCCUGGGGACUACGGUCGCAAGAUUAAAACUCAAAGGAAUUGACG